RNAcentral lists this long non-coding RNA (570 nucleotides) under Bos indicus x Bos taurus (hybrid cattle). RNAcentral describes it as "lncRNA (ENSBIXG00000018684.1)". Lineage: Eukaryota; Metazoa; Chordata; Mammalia; Artiodactyla; Bovidae. The record is from RNAcentral.
CUCAGCCAGCACCCAGGCAAUGAAUCUGCCCGCUCCCACUGCCACCUCCAGGAAGUACUCAGCAAUCAGGGCAUAAUCUGCCCUGUUGUUGACCAAGUGACUCCGCAGACCAAGAAACAUGACUUCCUGGACUGCUGAGCCUUUUUAUUUGGCGAUACCAGAGAGGGAGCAGAGAAGGCAAUGGCCCCCCACUCCAGUACUCUUGCCUGGAAAAUCCCAUGGACCGAGGAGCCUGGUUAGCUUUUUCUGCUUCUCAGACAUGCAGCUGGAAAAGGCUACCUCUCACCUGCCUCAAUGCCAGCAACCAAAGGAGACAAGCACUGGUGGAUUCUUUACCACUGAGCCACCUGGGAAGCCCUACCCUACGUUUCACGAUGAAUGAGUGAGUGAGUGAUAGUCGCUCAAGUCAUGUGCGACACUUUGAGACCCUGUGGACUAGAGCCUGCCAGACUCCUCUGUCCAUAGAAUUCUCCAACACCUCAUGAUGCAUCCAAAGUAAAUCUUCAGUUAUGUAAUUUCCUAGUUUAAAACAAAACAAAAUAAAACAAAUGCAUGUUGUUAAAAAUCUCA